GAAUAUUGAUACCAAACAUAAAUACCAAAUAAUACAUGAACCCUUUCAAAUUUAGUAACAAAAUUAGAAUGCAUAAAAUCGUUCAUUUAAGUCGGUUUAUCUCUAUCUAUUACAGCUGCUCUUUUUUUCUUUGGGUGAAUCGCAGUUCAACCAAUGUCCCAUGGCCAUAUAUUAGCCACUAGAAUCCACGUUUCCACCUUGUGGCGGAUGAUACUAUACGCCUUUUGUC
Molecule: long non-coding RNA, 229 nt
Filed under: Gossypium barbadense (sea-island cotton)
Lineage: Eukaryota; Viridiplantae; Streptophyta; Magnoliopsida; Malvales; Malvaceae
Description: long non-coding RNA (GBAR_LNC019615)
Source: RNAcentral